GCCUUGGUGGUGUAGUGGUCAGCACACUCGGAGCGUAUUGAAGAGGUCCGUGGUUCAAAUCCCGGCGAGGGCA
RNAcentral lists this transfer RNA (73 nucleotides) under Stegodyphus mimosarum. It matches the Rfam family "tRNA". Rfam says of the family: Transfer RNA (tRNA) molecules are approximately 80 nucleotides in length. Their secondary structure includes four short double-helical elements and three loops (D, anti-codon, and T loops). The record is from Rfam by way of RNAcentral. Lineage: Eukaryota; Metazoa; Arthropoda; Arachnida; Araneae; Eresidae.